GGGAGGGUAGCUCAGAGGGAGAGCACCAGUCUUAUAAGCUGGCGGGCGCGGGUUCGAAUCCCGCCCCUCCUACCA
RNAcentral lists this transfer RNA (75 nucleotides) under marine sediment metagenome. RNAcentral's name for it is "tRNA-Ile". It matches the Rfam family "tRNA". Rfam says of the family: Transfer RNA (tRNA) molecules are approximately 80 nucleotides in length. Their secondary structure includes four short double-helical elements and three loops (D, anti-codon, and T loops). Further hydrogen bonds mediate the characteristic L-shaped molecular structure. tRNAs have two regions of fundamental functional importance: the anti-codon, which is responsible for specific mRNA codon recognition, and the 3' end, to which the tRNAs corresponding amino acid is attached (by aminoacyl-tRNA synthetases). tRNAs cope with the degeneracy of the genetic code in two manners: having more than one tRNA (with a specific anti-codon) for a particular amino acid; and 'wobble' base-pairing, i.e. permitting non-standard base-pairing at the 3rd anti-codon position. The record is from RNAcentral.